RNAcentral lists this microRNA precursor (89 nucleotides) under Choloepus hoffmanni (Hoffmann's two-fingered sloth). Its description in RNAcentral is "miRNA (ENSCHOG00000015893.1)". The record is from RNAcentral. Lineage: Eukaryota; Metazoa; Chordata; Mammalia; Pilosa; Megalonychidae.
AUCACCUGGAGAUCUUGUUAAGUGCAGAUUUUGGUUCGGAAUGUGGCCUGAGAUUCCACAUUUCUAACAAGUUCUCAGGUGAUGCCACU